AUUGAACGCUGGCGGCAGGCUUAACACAUGCAAGUCGAGCGGGGUGAUGGUGCUUGCACUAUCACUUAGCGGCGGACGGGUGAGUAAUGCUUAGGAAUCUGCCUAUUAGUGGGGGACAACAUCUCGAAAGGGAUACUAAUACCGCAUACGUCCUACGGGAGAAAGCAGGGGAUCACUUGUGACCUUGCGCUAAUAGAUGAGCCUAAGUCGGAUUAGCUAGUUGGUGGGGUAAAGGCCUACCAAGGCGACGAUCUGUAGCGGGUCUGAGAGGACGAUCCGCCACACUGGGACUGAGACACGGCCCAGACUCCUACGGGAGGCAGCAGUGGGGAAUAUUGGACAAUGGGGGGAACCCUGAUCCAGCCAUGCCGCGUGUGUGAAGAAGGCCUUAUGGUUGUAAAGCACUUUAAGCGAGGAGGAGGCUCUUUUGGUUAAUACCCAAGAUGAGUGGACGUUACUCGCAGAAUAAGCACCGGCUAACUCUGUGCCAGCAGCCGCGGUAA
This 503-nucleotide ribosomal RNA is filed under the name uncultured bacterium. RNAcentral describes it as "partial 16S ribosomal RNA". It matches the Rfam family "Bacterial small subunit ribosomal RNA", at positions 30 to 523 of the family's 1533-position model. The record is from RNAcentral.